CCGAGCGACGUCGCGUGAACAAUGAAGUACUUCGGUAUGUAAAGUUCUUUUAUUGAAAAAAAAAAAAUAGUGAAAAAACUAUCUUGACAUUAUUCAAUGAAUAAGCCCCGGCUAAUUAUGUGCCAGCAGCCGCGGUAAUACAUAAGGGGCGAGCGUUAUCCGGAAUUAUUGGGCGUAAAGGGUGCGUAGGCGGUUUGAUAAGUCUAUAGUUUAAAUGCAGCGCUUAACGCUGUAGCGCUAUAGAAACUGUCUGACUAGAGUUAGAUAGAGGCAAGCGGAAUUCCAUGUGUAGCGGUAAAAUGCGUAAAUAUAUGGAGGAACACCAGAGGCGUAGGCGGCUUGCUGGGUCUUAACUGACGCUGAGGCACGAAAGCGUGGGGAGCAAACAGGAUUAGAUACCCUGGUAGUCCACGCCGUAAACGAUGAGUACUAAGUGUCGGGUUUCGGCUCGGUACUGAAGUUAACACAUUAAGUACUCCGCCUGAGUAGUACGUACGCAAGUAUGAAACUUAAAGGAAUUGACGGGACCCCGCACAAGCGGUGGAUCAUGUUGUUUAAUUCGAAGAUACACGAAAAACCUUACCAGGUCUUGACAUAAUUUUGCGACAUUAUAGAAAUAUAAUGAAGGUUAUCAGAAUUACAGGUGGUGCAUGGUUGUCGUCAGCUCGUGUCGUGAGAUGUUAGGUUAAGUCCUAAAACGAGCGCAACCCUUGUCGUUAGUUGCGACCACGUAAUGGUGAGCACUUUAGCGAGACUGCCAAUGAAAAAUUGGAGGAAGGUGAGGAUUACGUCAAAUCAUCAUGCCCCUUAUGAUCUGGGGUACAAACGUGAUACAAUGGCUGUUACAAAGAGUAGGUACAACGUGAGUUUUUAGCCAAUUUCAUAAAAACUGUUUCAGUUCGGAA
Molecule: ribosomal RNA, 905 nt
Filed under: Periwinkle phyllody phytoplasma
Lineage: Bacteria; Bacillati; Mycoplasmatota; Mollicutes; Acholeplasmatales; Acholeplasmataceae
Description: bacterial SSU rRNA
Rfam family: Bacterial small subunit ribosomal RNA
Source: RNAcentral